ACUCCUACGGGAGGCAGCAGUGGGGAAUAUUGCACAAUGGGCGAAAGCCUGAUGCAGCAACGCCGCGUGAGUGAUGAAGGCCUUCGGGUCGGAAAACUCUGUCCUCAAGGAAGAUAAUGACGGUACUGGAGGAGGAAGCCCCGGCUAACUACGUGCCAGCAGCCGCGGUAAUACGGAGGGGGCUAGCGUUAUCCGGAUUUACUGGGCGUAAAGGGUGCGUAGGCGGUCGUUCAAGUCAGGAGUGAAAGGCUACGGCUCAACCGUAGUAAGCUCUUGAAACUGGGAGACUUGAGUGCAGG
This 299-nucleotide ribosomal RNA is filed under the name Clostridioides difficile. Its description in RNAcentral is "partial 16S ribosomal RNA". It matches the Rfam family "Bacterial small subunit ribosomal RNA", at positions 335 to 652 of the family's 1533-position model. Lineage: Bacteria; Bacillati; Bacillota; Clostridia; Peptostreptococcales; Peptostreptococcaceae. The record is from RNAcentral.